This 253-nucleotide ribosomal RNA is filed under the name uncultured bacterium. RNAcentral's name for it is "partial 16S ribosomal RNA". It matches the Rfam family "Bacterial small subunit ribosomal RNA", at positions 524 to 776 of the family's 1533-position model. The record is from RNAcentral.
UACAGAGGUCUCAAGCGUUGUUCGGAUUCAUUGGGCGUAAAGGGUGCGUAGGUGGCGCCAUAAGUCAGGUGUGAAAUCUCGGGGCUCAACCCCGAAACUGCAUUUGAUACUGUGGUGCUCGAGUGCUGGAGAGGAGAUUGGAAUUUACGGUGUAGCAGUGAAAUGCGUAGAUAUCGGGAGGAACACCGGUGGCGAAGGCGGUUCUCUGGGCCUUACCUGACGCUGAGGAGCGAAAGCGUGGGGAGCGAACAGG